ACCACCAUAGCUCAGUGGCAGAGCAUUGGUCUUGUAAAUCAGGAGUUGUGAGUUCGAUCCUCACUGGUGGCU
This 72-nucleotide transfer RNA is filed under the name Limulus polyphemus (Atlantic horseshoe crab). Its description in RNAcentral is "tRNA-Thr". It matches the Rfam family "tRNA". From Rfam's summary of the family: Transfer RNA (tRNA) molecules are approximately 80 nucleotides in length. Their secondary structure includes four short double-helical elements and three loops (D, anti-codon, and T loops). The record is from RNAcentral. Lineage: Eukaryota; Metazoa; Arthropoda; Merostomata; Xiphosura; Limulidae.